RNAcentral lists this ribosomal RNA (372 nucleotides) under uncultured bacterium. Its description in RNAcentral is "bacterial SSU rRNA". It matches the Rfam family "Bacterial small subunit ribosomal RNA", at positions 524 to 898 of the family's 1533-position model. The record is from RNAcentral.
UACGGAGGGGGCAAGCGUUGUUCGGAGUCACUGGGCGUAGAGGGCAUGCAGGCGGUCUUGUAAGCUUGGCGUGAAAGACCACGGCUCAACCGUGGGAUUGCGUUGAGAACUGCGAGGCUUGAGUGACGGAGAGGGAGCUAGAAUUCCUGGUGUAGGGGUGGAAUCUGUAGAGAUCAGGAAGAAUACCAAUGGCGAAGGCAAGCUCCUGGCCGAUGACUGACGCUGAGGUGCGAAAGUGUGGGGAUCAAACAGGAUUAGAUACCCUGGUAGUCCACACUGUAAACGAUGUGCACUAGGUGCUGGUACGGAUGUAUCAGUGCCGUAGCUAACGUGAUAAGUGCACCGCCUGGGGAGUAUGCUCGCAAGGGUGAA